This 107-nucleotide small nuclear RNA is filed under the name Homalodisca vitripennis (glassy-winged sharpshooter). Lineage: Eukaryota; Metazoa; Arthropoda; Insecta; Hemiptera; Cicadellidae. The record is from RNAcentral.
GUACUGCCGAAGCAAGUACAUAUACUGAAAUUGGAAUGAUACAGAGCAUAUUAGCAUGGCCCCUGCGCAAGGAUGACACGCAAAAUCUUGAAGCGUUCCACAUUUUA